CGGGAAGAAGAGAAGGUUAAAGGACAAAGAGGAAAAGAUCGAUUCUGUCAAAUGCUACUUUGUUCGAAUGGAAUCUCUUAAUCCUUAUGAAAAUGAAACUUACAUUUUGCAUGACAAGAUGGUUCAUGAAGCAAGGUGCAAUUUCAUGCAUGUACACAUGGUCUCUAGCAUGGCUAAAUACAUGGCCAGGUUUAUUAUUUCCCAGAUUCUUUUAACUUUUUAAUAUUUAUUGCAUAUUUGCUGUCUUUCUUUCUG
RNAcentral lists this unclassified non-coding RNA (255 nucleotides) under Hevea brasiliensis (rubber tree). The record is from RNAcentral. Lineage: Eukaryota; Viridiplantae; Streptophyta; Magnoliopsida; Malpighiales; Euphorbiaceae.